CCUACGGGUGGCUGCAGUGAGGAAUAUUGGUCAAUGGACGAGAGUCUGAACCAGCCAAGUAGCGUGAAGGAUGACUGCCCUAUGGGUUGUAAACUUCUUUUAUAUGGGAGUAAAAUGUUCCACGUGUGGGCUUUUGUAUGUACCCUAUGAAUAAGGAUCGGCUAACUCCGUGCCAGCAGCCGCGGUAAUACGGAGGCUCCGAGCGUUAUCCGGAUUUAUUGGGUUUAAAGGGAGCGUAGGUGGAAUGUUAAGUCAGUUGUGAAAGUUUGCGGCGCAACCGUCGAAUUGCAGUUGAAACUGGCAGCCUUGAGUGCAGGAGAGGUAGGCGGAAUUCGUGGUGUAGCGGUGAAAUGCUUAGAUAUCACGAAGAACUCCGAUUGCGAAGGCAGUUCACUGGAGUGCAACUGACACUGAGGCUCGAAAGCGUGGGUAUCAAACAGGAUUAGAUACCCGGGUAGUC
This 460-nucleotide ribosomal RNA is filed under the name uncultured bacterium. RNAcentral's name for it is "partial 16S ribosomal RNA". It matches the Rfam family "Bacterial small subunit ribosomal RNA", at positions 338 to 795 of the family's 1533-position model. The record is from RNAcentral.